Molecule: long non-coding RNA, 13959 nt
Filed under: Coffea arabica (coffee)
Lineage: Eukaryota; Viridiplantae; Streptophyta; Magnoliopsida; Gentianales; Rubiaceae
Description: long non-coding RNA (CARA_LNC006868)
Source: RNAcentral
CAUUACCAAAAGCUGAAACUAGUCUAGACUAGUCUAUACCGAGCUCUCAUUCUUGCUCGCCUUCCCCUGUUAAGGAAAACAAAACUAAAGGUAUGAGCUAAAAACCCAGUGAGAUUCCGAACACAUAAUCAAACAAUAAGUUCAAAGCAUGAACCGUCAAUAACCAAUAAUUCAAAAAACAUUUACAAUGGGAAGCAAUACUAACACAUUCAUUAAAAUGAUACGUGCUCACAAGGAGCCAUUCAUUCAUUCGUUCAUUCAUUCUCCUUUCAUUCCCUUAUUCCUCCAAUCAUUUGAACAUGCAUUUUGAUAAGUAAAACCCCUCAUUUGCACUGACAUUCUUUCGUUCAUUUCAUUCACCCCCUCCUGGACAUUGGUCAGGCUCCACCAGACUACAAGGUAAUACUCGAAUAUACCAAACGUUCACCCAGGGUCACUAAAUCGCCCGACCAAGUCCGCUUUUGGCUCGAGUAAAUCAGUAACAAAGGGCAGGGCCCAGUUCGGCCAAGAGACUUACAUUCAUGCAGAACUAACAUGUAAUCACUUAAACAUUGAAAAUUUCACAUUUCAUUUAGGUCGAGUGCGAUAAAGUAUACACUCGCCUAGCAAUAUUCAUUUGUAACAAACAUUUAUCAUUUAAUCAAAUAUCCACAACAAAUCAUAAAGUUCAUGGAAACAUAACAAACAAAGAACACUCACCUAUUUACGCAAAAUAACGUCCAAAAUAUCUUUCCGGGUAACACUCUCAAUCACCGAUGAACCCUAAGGUUAAUCAAGAGAAAAUAUUACAGUUCCUCCAGCAAAAGUUAGGUGAAUCGAAGACAAUUCAAAUACUACUAGUACAAAGUAUAAAUAUGAUUUUGGAAGUGAACAGAGUACAUUUAAACCAAAGGACAUGAGUAAAAUAUUUGGAAAACUUAUGCUCACUCUCAAAUCGUUACCUAAUUCUUGAGUGUAAAUUUGGGCAGCACGCCCUUUAUAUUUACCUAUUUUCCAGCCACUUAUGGCUUCAUUAUUUUCCUCAAUCAAUCCCAAAGUCAUACACAAUAUAAAUUCAUCACAAUAGCCGUUCAAUAGGCUCAAAUUCAUUCAAGUACAAGAUUUAGCUAGGAAAAUGACCAGAAAUGAGCUUUAAGCUAAGAAACCAAAAAGGUAGAUUCACCGCUACUUAGCGUAUCGAACAUAACUGAAACUACGUUUAUUGCAUUGAAGUGCAAGUUAUAUCGUUUCGAAGCUAAGACAGAGGGCUAUAACUUUGAUGAAGACUAUGUAGUCCAGUUCUCACCAUAACUAGGUCAAAUUUACCAAAACAACCCCGAUGUUCCAGUUCGAAGCUCACUGUGAAAUUCAACUAGCAGUCUUGAUUCAUUAAAUCAUAUCUCAUCACACACAACUCCUUUUCAGGUAAUUCCAAAGCCAUUUGAAAGCUAAGAUACAAGGCUAUAAUUAUUAAGAAGACAUCAACAACCAAUUCGGUAAUAUUCCUGGUCAAACUAACCACUUACAGAGGCUGAUUAUCAUUUUUGACUGAAACAGGGCAGUAGGGGCAAUUUUGUCAUUUCACAAGCUAUCCUUCUCCGAUUGAGUUGAAAAUUUACAGGCAUACUCUGAACUCAAUUAUCUACAACUUCCAUGUUUUGUGCUAAGGCUAAUUCAGCUCCCAACAUGUUCAAAUUUUCAGACUAAUUUCGGACAGAAAUCUUGACAGAAAAGGAAUACUUGAAGUUCAUUUAAAUUCCACCCAAUCAAACGAAUUUCCAGCCAUUCAAAUCAGUUCCUAGCUAGUUAGAUUCAACUUCCAAUCAUCAGUCAUAAGUUUUACCACAAGAAUCAAGAGUUAGGAAACUGGUUUACCUCAAAUCCGUAAUCAUAACCCUAGCUGGCCGAUUCUCUUGAAGCAUGAAACACAGAAAUUAAUCCAACAAUUCAUCAUAUCACAAGCUUGGUCAUCAAUUCACCAAAAGAAACAAAAUCAGUACAAGUUCAUGAGCCAAACCAACGUCCAGCUUUGGUGACUGAAACGUACUUGAGGAGAUGUAUUCUUGAGCUCCAACUCUCCAACAAAGUUCCCUUGGUUGGUUGCAAGCAAGGUUGGAUGAAUAACCCCAAUGAUUCUCUUUCUUUUUUUUUCCUUCUUUCUUUCUUCUCCUAGCUCACCCGAUGCUGCCCUUCUUCUUCUCCAAGCUCAUGGCAGCUUGUUCUUGGUGUUGGCUUUGUUUGUUUUGUCUUAUGUCCUACUAACUUAAUAGCUAAGUCUAUUAAUAGUAAAGCAAAACAAGAGAUGGGUCAUGGGCUUGAGUAAUUAAUGGGUUUAUGGCUUAGGCUUCUAAUGAAAUUAAAACUUAAAGGCCCAACACUAAAACUCUACUUGAUCCAAUGUAAUUAACCCAUUGGUUUACUAACUUAAUAUCCACUUAAUGCACUAACUUAGUUUAAUUAAAACUUAAGCAUACUAACCCAAGGUACUAAUCACUCGAACCCCCGUACUAAACAUGCAUGCAUGCACAUACAAUCACGAAAAUAUUAAUUGGUUGAAUUUAAUUUAAACUUAAAGGUUUAGUUUUGAAAGUAGGAUUUUAAUGAUUCGAUUAAAGUUUCCAAUUUUGGCAUAUAAAACACUCUUUGAAAAUUAAAACACAUGAUAAAAUACAUUUUUCACACAAUAGCUACUAUAAUUAUCCAUAUUUAAUUUAUUUGAAAAAAUUAGGAAUCCAGGAUCUCAUAUCCAUAAUGCACCUCAAACUUAACAUGUACGCACUUAUACUAGAAAAAAAUGAUUUAAAAUGAUACUCACUUAUAAAAUCUUUGAAAAUUAAAUGAUUAAUUGAUUUAAAGUAAGGAAAAUGCGCGCGGAAAAAUAAAAUAAAAUAAAAUAAAAUAAAACAAGGAGAAUUUUGCGGGUCCUCACAAUUACACUUAAAGAGCCAUCAAAAGUUCAUACAAAAGGUAUACUAGCAUCCACCAAGUCACUACUCUAGAACCUUCAAUCCUUCUCCAAAUUUUGUUAAGGAAAACAACUUAAAGGGGUGAGCGAACACUCAGUGAGGCCAAGAAUAACAUGCUUAAAAGCAACUUUAAACAUGACAUUUCAUUUAAGUACACAAGUAGGAAUUAACACACAUAUAAGGAUAUGGGAGCUCUCGGGAGUUAUUUCCACAUCUCGAUCAAGUUCAGCCACCUGGGGUUGACCCUCCGUCAACCCAAGUAGUAACACGACCGUAGUGCUCCACUUACUUCCUCCACCCACCUAACACCCACUCGGAUCUGGAACCAAACAUGUAUAAAGUGGCGAUACUAUUCGAGUAUGCCUAGCGAGAUCUCUCCAAUAGAUCAAGCUAUAAUAUUUCCCAAGGUUCACCAAACUCCUCGACCAAACCCUUGCCAGCUCGAGUUAUAAGGUUAGCCAAUGGGUUGGGGUGCCCCCCAAAAGUAUAAGUGGUCGAUGAGACAUCGCUCCAAUAGACUUAGAAUUGUUUAUGACUCUGAGUCGGUAUAAGAGGCACCUCCCACCCAAAUAGGGUGUGGUACAUGCUUCCGCUCAGAGAAUCGAUCAUAGCACUGAGUCGGUAUGAGAGGCACCUCCCAUCCGAAUAGGGUGUGGUACACGUUUCCUGUGAGGACCCGGAUUUUAUUUUCUUACUUUUAUUAUUUUAAUGGCUUAAUUAAUUAUUUAAUUCACCCGUUUACUCCGAAUAAUUUAUUUCAUUCAUUUUAAAACCCAUUGUAUGCAAAAAUGUCUCUUUUAUAUUUUUAAAACGUUCUGUUCCCGAAUUUAAUUUUUCUACAGCUCGAUUUGCGAGAAAUAGCAAAUACACGUUUUUUGAGGCAAUAUUCGAUCCGAGAGUGCAAUGAUCUUGGAGAUUUGAGGACUCAUGUUUUCAUUCUUAAUUCAGUCAUUUUAUACGUUAUCUACCCUAGAGUUAGUUAAUUAUAUUUUAGUGGCGUGAAUUACCCUUAAGUUUCACUUUAUCGUGCGCGAAUCGAAAAUUCGCGUAAAUCGAGCCGGAACGGUUAAGUGGAGAUUUAAGAAACUUAUACUGACUACUAAGAGUGAAUAAUUAUAGUGUUAAAGGAAGUACACUGAAGGUUUAGUGCACAAGUAUAACAAACGAGAGAGAAAACGGUGAUACGAUACCGCGCACGAGCACUAUUCUCAGUUAACUUUAAUUUUGGCCACAAAACCCUCAAGCUUCCAAAGGAAGCUUCACAACAAAUUGUGAAGAAAGUUUCUAUCAAAAAUCAUUUGAAUUGGUUGAGCAAAACUUGAAUUUUCGAAAUGUGAAGAAACCUGGAAAUGAGUUCAGACUGUCUAAACAGUACCACUUUGAUCGAACAUAUCUCUUUGUACAAAAGUCAAAAUCGAGUGCUAUUUGUGGCAUUUGAAACUAGACAUUUGUAGCUAUCCAAUGGUAUAAAAUUUACCCUCUAGUUUGAAAUGAGUGAGCUGUAGUGAUUCGGCAAUAUUUCAUGUCCUGUUCUGAUGGUCUAUCAGAGAGAAAGGUAGAAGCUGCAUUUUGUGGCACUAUUUUCUCUCACUUAUGAAUUGAUUUUGAAAAUAAUUUGUUCUGAUGAAAUGUAGCCUUAUGAUUGUAGUUUUCAAUGCCACUAACCAUUCUCAAUUCCAAGUUGUAUUGAGCGAAAUAUGGUUCAAUUUCCAAACUGCGGCAAAGCUGGAAAACCCUUCCUUUUGCUGGCCGACUGGUUUAGUUGUUUGUGAGAUGUUUUAUUUCAAAAUUUUGAUGUCAACCCACUAUCAAUUGCUUAUGAAAUAUUUCUUGGACCUUGGUUUCACAAAUGAAUCAAAAUGAGACUGAUUUCAUGGUGCAAAGUGUUUGAAAAAGGGAAAGAAAACAAGAAGACAGAUUUGCUUUAAGAAUUUCCUAAACUUUGGUAGUUUUGUUAACUACCUUUCCGUACGAAUUUUUACGUAAAAUUUGAUAGAGGAGUAGUCCUCAUAUGGAAGUUGAAUUGUACCAAAUUUGGUGUUAUUCUAAAACCAUUUUGAUACCAAAUGAUGUCCCAAAGUUUACUUUCAAAUCUGGAAAAUUCACUGUUUAGUAGUGGAAAUUUACUGACUUUGAACAGCUAUAUCUUGAUACUCAAGACUCUGAAUUUAGUUCCGGUUGUCGUGUUCGAAACUCUGUUUGGAUCUUUUGUUGUGUUAUGAAUUUCAGAGGCUAGUUUACUUUCGGUGAAUUUUGCCGAAUUUCCAAAGUUUGGCGAAAAACAUGACCGAAACUGUCUUGUAUGGUCAAGUCAGCCACUUUGAGCUGAAAUUUGAAUGUCUUCUGUUUAGAAUCUUAGAAAACUAUUUUCUAGGAACUUUUAGUAUUCUGAACCAAGAUUCCAACGGUAUAAAGUUUUCCAAUUUUAGACCUACUGAGUACAAGUUCUGAUUUUUCUAAAUUUGAUGCGCAAAACUGAAAUUUUCCGACUUGUUGGGAAAUGAGUUUUUGGAGACUCUUCCCUAUCCUUUGAUAUUGAUUGACCAUUUUAAACUUAAUUUCAUGAAGAAAAUCAGUUUCUCUUCUAUUUUUAAACACCACUUUUGAGACUCGAUUUACGUGUAAUUAAGGCUCUUUUUCAUGACAUUUUCUUAGUAUUGUACAAGUGUACAAUCUUUCUUAUUAACAAGGGGUUUAUCAGCGAUAGUGUGUGAUAGCCAAUUACUAUUUGCUCAGGUACUCAAGGGGACCUUCAAGAGGAUCUUGAAGCGGACGCCUAAACGCUUGUUUGAGCACUUACUCCCUUACUUUGAUUGGUGAGUGUCAAGUGCAUGAAUUGUAGAUAAAUGCUUUAAUUGUUAAUUGAGUAUUAUGGAAUUGUUGAGACGAGUGUGUACUUUACUGCACUCGCUCUCUCUUAAGUGAUGCUACAAUUGAAUUGUGCUAUGUGAAUUGAUAUUUGAAUUGUGUGAAAUGAAUUGUUAUGUGAAUUAAGUGAAGUGUUGCUAUUGCAAACCAUAUUUGUGUUGUGAUGUCGAGUGGAGUGAACCUCCUCGACUUAUGUGUAUACUCGUGGGGACACCCUCGUUCUCUCUUUCUUUUAAUUAUGUGAUACUUGUUACUGGAAUAUAUAUGAUCGGUAAUUGUUCAUAAACAUGUCUAACUCGUAAGCCCUGAGCGGAUACAUGUACCACACCAAUCUGGGUGGGAGGUGCCUGUCAUACCGUCUCAGUGCUAUAAUCGAUUCCCUGAGCGAUAGUAUGUAUCACACCAAUUUGGGUGGGAGGUACCUCUCAUGUCGACUCAAAACCCUAAACAAAUAAUCGAUUCUCUGAGCGAUAGCAUGUACCACACCGAUUCAGGUAGGAGGUACCUCUCAUGUCGACUGAGUACCAUAAACAAUUGUAAUCGGUUCUCUGAGUGAUAGUACGUAUCACACCGAUUCGGGUGGGAGGUACCUCUCAUGUCGACUCAGAACCAUAAUCAAAGUAUAAGUCAAUUGGAGCGAUGUCUCAUUGACCACUGAGCGAUUGUAUGUACCACACCGAUUCGGGUAGGAGGUACCUCUCAUGUCGACUCAGAACCAUAAACGUAUAAUCGAUUCCUUGAGCGAUAGCAUGUACCACACCGAUUCGGGUGGGAAGUACCUCUCAUGUCGACUCAGAACCAUAAUCAAAGUAUAAGUCGAUUGGAGCGAUGUCUCAUCGACCACUUAUUUCUCUGAGCGGUAGCAUGUACCACACUGAUUCAGGUGGGAGGUACCUCUCAUGUCGAAUUAGAACCAUAAAUAGAGUAAGUGAAGUUAUACAGAAUUAAAUACCUGCCCGGUUGACAGAAUGUCACCACGUGGAGGUAUUGAAUCGAAUUUGGGCAAAGCAAUUGGAAAUUAGCUCCUGAGAGCUCCUGUAUCCUACUCAAGUGUGUUUAUUUGUUAAUCAGGAAUUACUUGAAUGCUAUAGCUUUAUUUCUCGUACAAGUGUUUGUUACUUGAACUAUGUGUUUUCAUGUUUUCUUGACCUCACUGAGCGUUAGCUCAUCCCAUUAGCUUUGUUUUCCUUAACAGGAGCUCGGAAUGGAAAGAAUUUUGGAGAAGCCGGUUUGACUACUUUUGUUUAGUAUUUUGGAUUGUAUUUGAUUAGCCGACUUCGAGUGAUUGAAAUUUUUGGUGAAAGUGAUGUACUUUUGAGAACUUGUAUUGUAAGAUCUGAAUAUUUAUUUAAGGAAGCAUGAAAACAACUAUAGUAGCAUCCCAGAGGUAAUCAAAAUGAAAACGAGUGAUGACCCGAAAAAAGGAAAAAAAUUAUAAUUAUAAUUAUUUUCUCACCUCCCAACUAUUUGCAUUUCUAUUUAAAUUAUAUUUUAUAACAUUUGCAUUCAUUUAGUGAUUUACUUGUUAAUUGAUAAGUGAGUUUCUCUUGUUUGUUUAUUCUAACUUUCAAGCGAUUAAAUUCUUGAAAAUUGUUGAUUUUGUGACUUAUUGGUGAAUUUGGCCGAAACCCUAGGAGAAUAUAAGUUGAGACAUUAGUAAAGUUAAGAAAGAUUUUGGGAGUUAAAAGAAGGUUAGAAGAGCUAAAGGUGGAUAGUAAGAAAGCCUAAGUGGGAGACACUAUUGGACACUAUUCAAAGUUGACCUUGCAAACCCUUCUUGUGGCUUGUAUAUUACCUCCAAAAACAACAAAAAGACCUUCAUUUCUUCUCCUUGGGCUGUCAGAAACUUGAGAGAGGAAGAGAGGGAGAGAAAUUUUAUCCUUCUUGAAAAUUUUGAAGAUCCAAGCUUUCCUUCCACCAAUCCACUUGCACCUUUGGAAAAUCUUGAGAGAAAGAGGCUCCUAAGGGUUGAUCUUGGCAUCAUCUUGAGUUAAUCUUGCUAGGGUUUGAAGCUUUGAAGAGAUAAGUGACUAAUCUACUUCACUGUUUUGCUUUCAAGCAAUUGUGGAAUAUGAUUCUAGUAGACUUGUAACUUGAAAGAUUGAAUCUUUGAUGGGUUUCUUUGAAACCUUGAUUUAGGUAGAGGACUUGAGGAAAAAUUUCUUGGGUUUCCAUGGCAAGCUAGGUAGAGGACUUGACAUUCAUUCUUGUGCUUUUAUGAUGAAUGUUGUGAUAGGUUUUGGUACUUUAAAGCUUGAUAUUGUGGCUUGUGUGUAUACUUCUUGGAAAGCUUAAAUCUUGGUUGGAUUUUGUUGCAAAUUGUGGUGGAAAAAUUCUGUUUUGAAAGCUUCAUGCUGGCCGAAAUUUUUGAGUGUUGUUAGCCCUUAUUUUUCAAGAUAUUUUGGGGGAAAUCUUGCUCCACAAACUUUGUAGACAUUAAACUUUGAUUGCAAAUUGAUUUGAACCAAAAAUCAUGAGCUUAAGUGAGAAGGUUGAGUCAAGUGUUGCUGAAAAUUUUUUCCGCAGGAGACUCUGAGCAGUCUUGGGAAAUCUAUCGUAUCUUGGUGUAGAAAAAUCUAAAUUGAGUUCUACUUCUUGUGUUUGAAACUAGAUUUAGAGUGCUUUCUACCGUGAAAAUUUCAGAAUUUUUCUCAAUUCCUAUGAAUAUGUAUGAUUUUCCAAAAUUGACUAAAAUUUCACACCUGUUCUAUUUUUCUACCUGAUGAAGCAACAAAUUGAGACUGGAAUUUGACUGAUUUGUGGAUAGAAACUUACAAAUGUGUCUUCUGGAAAAAUGUAGUCCUUUGAAUCUAUUUUCCAAUGGUAUAAAUUUUAUAAAUUUUGGACUUCAGAAGCUUGAGAUAUAAUUUUUCAAAUAGCGUCACGCAAAACUAGAGAAAAUUCUGUUUUCCUAAACUUGUUCUUGCUCUCAUCUCCAACUUCAAGUUGGAGAUUGUUGAACCAUUUUGAGCUUGGUUUUAUAAUUGGAAUUGAGGUUUUCUCACAGCUUUAUGCCUUUGAGUGGAGUAGUGAUGGUUGAUUGUUUGAAACAGAGUUCCUCCCUAGCCCUUAGUCAUUAUUCGAAUAGCACGUGGCAUGAAAUCCUUAUUUGAUGGUGUUAAAGGUUUGGUAUAGGAUGGUAAGACUUAUGAAGAAGAAUUCUAGCUAUAAUUUGGUGCUUGGAUGGUGAAUUUGUGGCUUUUAGACCACUAUGCCUUGUUAAACCCUAGAUCACUACUUAUACAUGGGUUUUACUUAAAACUAGGGUGUUUAAAGAACGAGUGACUCUUCUUUUCGAGUCGCUUGUUGAAUGUUUUGACAAGAGUAAACAUUGUUAUACCACCUUACUAUAUCCUUGCCUUAUUUGAAACCUUAAUUUUGGCCCGUUUGAAUUGUAUUUUUGACUUUAGAGUCAAAAGUUUUCCCUUGUGGUUUGAUCAUGGAUAGGUGAUACUUUUUGACUAAAAACUUGCACUUGGGGGGUUCGACUACUUUAUUCAAAUAUUUUAAAACGGUGGACUUCUUUAGUUCGCUUACCUUCCCUUCAGAAAGUUAACUUUUCUAAACGCGAUGAGUGUUCUAAGUGCAUGUUGCACUUCAUACUUGCUUGACAUGCAUGUGCCCUGUGAAAUUGCCUGUUAUUGAACUGAUUGAUAUUUGACUUAGGUGAGCAUGUACUUUAUCUUGCUCAACCCCCCUUUCUUGCUUGUAUUUGUCCUGUUAGUCGUUUGGGCUGUUGUCCCUUUGACUCUUUAUUGUGAAUUGUUAUUCGAUGACUACUUGAUUGGUUGGUUGGGCUGUUGUCCCACCAACACGACUGCAUGUUGGGAAUUCCAAAACCCUAUUGGCUAGUUAAUCGAGUCGAACCGGCAAGGGCCUGACCGAUUAGAUAACGAAUCCGGAGUCUACUGUUUUGUUGAGUGAAAUGAUAUCUCCUCUGUCGUGCCCCAUUUUUUAUAAAAAUAAACAAAUGGUUUAAAAAGUGAAUUUUGAUUUAAUUUUUGGUUGGAAAAUGAAUUUUUGAUUUAAAACAGAAAAUAAAAAACGUGGGUCUAGAUGGGACAUGAAAAUACGACGAUUUGACCCAAAAUAUAGUUUAAAAAGGGUUUAUUGAAUGAAAAAUGGAGUCGCCACUUGGUAUAGAGUUAAGGUGUACCAAGUCACCUAAAAAUGAAAUUUUAAAGGAAAAAUGGAAAAACCCUUUUUAAUCGACUCCAAAUCUACGUAAAUCAAGAAAAAAGGUUCGGGAGUCACAUUUGAAAAAAGGGAAGGCAAGGGUAAAAAUUCGAGGCACCCUUUCGACCUAGCCAAGGCUAGUUGCGUGAUUUAGUCAAGAAUUUUCUUAUUUUAACCAAAAGAUUUAUCACAUUUGGACGUGCUAUAUGAAUGCAACCCUAGACCUAAGAGGGUAUCGGGGGGCAAAAUUUCUCUUCAAAGCUUGAAUGGUGCCAAUCACAUUAAUUGUAAUGCCCAAUAAUGACUCUUUGGAGAGGUCACGAAUAAUGCAAAGAUAUGAGACUCCAAGAAAAGAAAAAGAAAUAAAAUAAUUAUAAAAAUAUACAUGUCUUAAAGGAGUGCAUCAUGUCGGGUACGGGGGACUAAUGUUCGUGACUCAAUUUUCCCUUUAAUAGAGGGGGGUACGAGCGUGCUAAGGUUAGAAAGCCAAACUCGUCCAUAUCUCAUAUUCAAGGGAUUAUUCCCUAAUCUAAUCAAGCAAAUGAACUAACCUAGUUCUAAUGCUUAUAUGAAAUGCAAGUCUAAUGUCAUGUUUCCAUACAAAGGGGUAUAUAUAUAUAAGGGAAAUUAGGGAUAAGGGAUAUACGUAUAAGGGAAAUAUCAUACAAAAAUGAUAAAAGGCCCUAGAAAAUGAAAAAUAUGCAUGAGAUGAAGUGAUUUUAUCACACAAUCAUGAUCUAACGCGUGAAGGGGUCCUAAAGGUCUAGCGUUGGACUAGCCCGUGUUUCUACUUUCUCACUAGCGUUGGACUAGUGAGAAAUCGAACAAAAAAACCACAACUAGCGUUGGACUAGCGUGGUAUCGAGAAAUGGAUCACAACUAGCGUUGGACUAGUGUGAUAACACGUCACAUGUGAAUUAUAACUAAAUUAUGUAAAGCUUUAAUUAGAAGCAUGUAAACACAUAUACCACAUAAGCACAUAACACAUAAUCAUAAUAUCUAGAUGCAAGGCUCUAAGAAAGCGGUAACACAUAGCACGUAAGCAUGCAAAUCACACAAGCAACAAGAAAGGAAACCCUAUCUAUUACAUUAGGGGGGGCCCUACUACAAUCUAAAAGGGAAAAUAAAAUAAAAUAAAUAACUAAAAUAAAUACCUAACUAUUACAACUUGGCAUUUAAAUGCCUUUUAAAUAAUCAAAAAUGACCUAAAAAUAAAUAUACGAAAUUAAGACGAGUGAAGCGAAUCAAUAAAUAAAUAAAAUGAAAACAUUCACAAAGGACAUGCAAUUAACACAUAAAUCACAUAAGUACACAUAGGGUCAAAUAAAGUAAAAAUAAGGGAUAGAGUGUACCUCCCUUGAAUUGGUGUCCUAAUGAAAUGAAUUUUACUUAUUUACCCUCAAAAAACAAAGAAAAUGUCAAGGCAUCACUUUGAUUAACAAAUAAUCACGAGAAAUGGAGAUAAACAGGAAAUUGAAUCACUCAAGGCAUUCAAAUAAACUAAACAACUCAUAUCCAUCAAGUUGAAACCAACGAGGACCCAAUGGAAACAAUUAAAGAAGUUAAAGGGGCCCAUUUGAUUAUUAUCACAAACAUUAAGGGCCCAGGAAAUAAAUUAAGAUUAAGGACUUGAGGUGGAACCUACCAAACAAAUGAAAACCAAUUUGCUAGGAUUAAGCAACAAAAUUUUCAAAAUCUCACUAAAAAUUCGAAUCAAAACCAUAGAUCUAGAAAAGGUUAUUGAACCCUUCAAAUUCAUCCUAAAGCUCAUGCAUAUUCUAUCCAAAAAUUAUGUUAAAGCGUACCGAAGAAAAAUUGGAAUUUUCACAAGGAUAAGAUUGAUCAAAUUUCCAAUUAUUUGGGUCUUAUCAGAAUUAUGUAAAAUCAAUAGAACCAAGGUGCAAUUAUUGGAAACUAUUUCCAUGCAAAGAGACAUGCAAAUGCUUCAGGCAAGCCAAACGAACCAAGCUUUCUCUGUUUUCUGCAAUAUUCCAACCGUGGCUUCCUAUAUUUAAUCAUGCCAAAAGGCUCGCCAAUCAGCCGGAUUCCAGUUGUCAAAACUGACUCCAAUGCACAUGAACUUGUUACAGAAAUGCAGCCAAGCAUUCAGGAUAACCAUCAAGGGCGAAAAGAACUAAACAGCAAAAGAAAAAAAAAGAAAUGCAGCAAGAACUUUCUCUGCAAACUCUCAUUCGCAAGCUUCAUUCGCGAACCUUUGGCAAACAGAAUAUAUACAAAAUCUUCGAUCCAUCUCCAAUUAAAAAACAUUUAACACUCCAAAUAACAAAUGAAACUAGGAUCUUUGCCUAUAAAAAAAAUUCAGCGACCGAGCGUGCACUUGCUGCAACCUUAGCAGCCGCAACUCAUCGGAAGUUCACACGAAAACCUUUAUAGCUUCGACCCAAAAUAUACAACCUCAUCACUAAACACUUAGGCACAAGAUUUAACUAGCAAAGGGAUUCAAAAUUUGGUGGGUAGCUGCGGAGAAGACAGCAACGAAGAAAAUGCAGCAGCUUUUGCCCUGGUUGUCUACCUAUAGCUAUCGCAAACAAGAACAAAAAUGCAGCAAAGAAACUCAUCCGAAACAAAUGCUCAUGUCACUUUCACUUAGCCAAAGCAUAUUCCCAUGAAACGAAACAAACCUUAACACAUUAACCGAUUCAUUAACUGACCCAAAAAAAUAGAGAAAAGAAACAACCGAUCACCUAGACACGAGCAUAAACCCAGCUAAACUUCAUUUAGAGCCACAGUUGGAUUUUUCUCAAAAAACGAAUGCGAACAUCCUGCUACUGUAAUGAAUCUGCCAUGCUAUAGCUUAACAUAAAAUGCAGCCAAUGAACGCUACCAUUUAAUGGAACAUGCAACUAAACUCAAACCAUGAGACUGCUAAGCUAUUCAGAACACAACUCACCGCACACGAAUCAUACGCAUUCAGUUCAGGACAGGAAAAACCACACGAAAGUUAACAGCUUUUGGUUCACAAGUUUUCGGCCAUACAGAUUCCAAAACAUAGCUUUUAGUUCCUAGGUUUUUCACCAAACAACAAAAAAAACAGAUUUCCGAUGAACAUAAAACAGAAGUGACGAGAUACUAAGUAACGAAAACAGACAUCUGAAACAGAUUCAGGGAAUCCACGCUUAGAAGGCUUCAAAAAUCUGAACUUUUAAAAGGAAACUUGAAUUUAAAGGGAUAGGGUAGCUCACAAUGCUUUCUUUCAAGCCUUUUGCGGUGAGGGUUUGCAGGUGGUGGUGGGGGAUUCUGAUGGCAGCAGCGGCAUCAGCAACCCAUCACCGAGACCUUCGAUUCUUGGUGGUUCUUUACUUUGGUUUGGCUUGGACCGAAAUCCCUCAAGCUCUCUCCAGAACCUCUUGGUUUUUUCCCUCGGCUCUCUCACUCUUCUCUAUUGUUUUCUCCCCAACGCUUCAUCCCUCCGCUUCUCCCGUCACCGGAUGCUCCCUGUUUUCCUUCUUUAGCUCUCCAGCCGCCAAACUCCCCCCGCCGUUCCUCUUUUCUAAUUUCCUCACUCAACCCGUCGUCCCAACUCUCCUCUCACCCUAGUUCUCUUCUCUCCCUUUUUUCCCAGCCGUCCUCCGAUUUCUUUCAUCAGCCGUCCCUUCCCUUUUGUAGCCCAAAGAUCUUUUUAGCCCUAACAUCCGAUGGUUCCCCCCACUUGAUAUCUUUCUCCUGCUUUAUAAACCCUUGGAUUCCAGGUUAUUACAUUUCCAGUGUAUGUUUCUUGCUGCUGAUUCUAUAGUGAAUGACUCAAGAGUUGAGUAUGUGAUUUGCUGUGAAAAUACCUACAAGCUCUUAUCUCACCAAAAAAGGAAAUGAAAGAGAGGAGGAAGGUAGGUUUUGAGAGCGGAAAAAAUGGAGAAACAUGGAGGAGGUGAGUUGGCUGGAUGUAAUUUUUGAUUUCUUAUUCUAAGAGAAAGAAAGGAAGCAAGAGAGAUGAAGAAAGAUGGAAGAAAGG